Parus major (Great Tit) is the source of this 1716-nucleotide long non-coding RNA. Lineage: Eukaryota; Metazoa; Chordata; Aves; Passeriformes; Paridae. The record is from Ensembl.
GAAACUUCUAUAGACUGAUAUUUCUGUUCAUAUGCAUGGAGUAUAAAAUCUUGAAUUCACUGGGUGUAAGUUAUUGUUUGGAAUCAAUGUACUUUCUUGUUUUUUUUAGCUUUUUAUCAAACCUUGAAAAAAGCUUGUCACUUACAGAACUCAUCUAUUAUUUUCAUUCUUGAAAUUUAAAAAUAAUAUUAUGGAGCCACAGAAAACUAAUUUUGAACAAAAGACAUUGGAUUUAACUAAAUUAUUGUUCCUGCCUUGUAACCCUAACACAGAACCUUUCAUUCCUCCUGAGAAAUGGCGUUUUCUCAUGAAUGAAAGCACAUCUGUAUGAUGGCCUUUGUCUUAAAACCCCAGGCAAUUGAUAAAGACUUUGGCUGGCUCUGAGGUGACUCAGGGGCUACUUGAGAAGCCUGAUUGCUUCCUUCAGCAGAGGAUGUGCUAUCUUCUGUUUUGUAUAGCAGUGCUGAGGAGAAUCUCAGUUUUCUUCUCUUUGAACAAGAACUAGAAGGGAUGGUUUGGCUUUAUUCUGUUUCAGGGCUGUUUUUUUGUUUUGUUUGUGUUCUAAUAUUAUCAAAAUGUCUAAAGGGCUCUGGAUGUCCAUGAGGUUUCUAAAACUGAACAUGGCUUCUGAUUUUUAAAACUUUCUAUGCCAGAGGUUUCCUGUGGACUCAUUACUCUGAAGAGGAACAAUACAUGUCCUCCUUCUCUGAAUGCAAAGAUUCCCAGUGAAAUCCUUGGGCUCCUGAUGGGGGAAGGACUCUGGUCUCUGACCCUGUGGCACCAACCAGCACUGAGUUGGAAGUCAGUGCCUUUGAGCUGCACAGGUGAAGAAAAUGUCACAGCAGUUCCCACAGCCCUUUGCAAAAUGGUUGGAUGGAAAUUAUUCUGAAAAAAGGUGUGUUGCCCGUACUUGGCAACAUUUCCAGAUGCUCACUGCAUAUUCAAGGAAUCAUAUGGAUGGCUCCUGGCUCAGGCUAAAAACUGUUUUAUGUGGCUCAUAUGUGUUAGGCAAAUUAGUUGCAUGUAGACAUGGAGACCCUGGUUAAAGACUGUGUAAGAAAGAAUUCUUCCCAGAGAAGUCAAGGUUGACGACAGCUGUAGCAACUCUUCCUGAAGAGCCAGCUGGUCCAUGGAAUAUCAAAACAUGCUGACAACAAAUCUCCAAAAGCAGCAUUUCUGUUUGAAGGCGGUGCAUUGCACCAGAAGGGCACAAAUGCAGCAGGGAUGACAUCUCUUCUCACAUCACCAUCACCACUGCACAUCAGCACAGCCCCGUGUCACAGUAUGGAGGGAGAUCCAGGGUGGCAUUCAAUUUAAGCUCCACAUCUAUUGGCUUUCUUCUCAGCCCCUUGUGAGCAUCAUUUGCUUCAGAUACCAGAUCUACUAAUGAUUUUUUUUUUCCCUCCCCCUUGCUCACACUUUAAUUGCAGGGUAUAUGUAAUACCCUUAGGAAUAGCUAUUGCCACCUGUAUUAUUAUUUAUGCUGUGAAAACGAAGCUUGUGGCAAUAUAUUUAUUAACACGGUGCCCUGGAAUCACAUGAGUUAACAGCUUAAUCCUGUGAUUGUAAACACUUUUCUCUACAUGUUCAAGCACCAUCCAGGUUUUUUAACUUAGCAUUGGGAAACUGAGCAUGAGCAGGUCAUAAUUUUUUGAGAAAAUCUACUCUUUAGCAAAGGAAAAAAAUAAAUCUCAUAACAAAAAAGUGGUUUAUCCA